GACGAACGCUGGCGGCGUGCUUAACACAUGCAAGUCGUACGGUAAGGCCCUUUCGGGGGUACACGAGUGGCGAACGGGUGCGUAACACGUGAGUAACCUGCCCACAACUUUGGGAUAACGCUAGGAAACUGGUGCUAAUACUGGAUAUGUGCUCCUGCUUCAUGGUGGGGGUUGGAAAGCUCCGGCGGUUGUGGAUGGACUCGCGGCCUAUCAGCUUGUUGGUGGGGUAGUGGCCUACCAAGGCGGCGACGGGUAGCCGGCCUGAGAGGGUGACCGGCCACAUUGGGACUGAGAUACGGCCCAGACUCCGACGGGAGGCAGCAGGGGGGAAUAUUGCACAAUGGGCGCAAGCCUGAUGCAGCAACGCCGCGUGCGGGAUGACGGCCUUCGGGUUGUAAACCGCUUUCAGCAGGGACGAAGCUUUUUGUGACGGUACCUGCAGAAGAAGCACCGGCUAACUACGUG
Molecule: ribosomal RNA, 465 nt
Filed under: uncultured bacterium
Lineage: Bacteria
Description: partial 16S ribosomal RNA
Rfam family: Bacterial small subunit ribosomal RNA
Source: RNAcentral